This is a non-coding RNA of Schistosoma mansoni, 45 nucleotides long. NCBI's taxonomy places the organism in Eukaryota, Metazoa, Platyhelminthes, Trematoda, Strigeidida, Schistosomatidae. The record is from Rfam.
AUCCAGCUGACAAGUCCCAAAUAGGACAAAACGCGUAUCCUAGAU